AGAUUAUAUAUUUUUAUGUCAUUAUAUUAAAGUUUUUUGUUAUACUGAAAUACUGAUAAAUUGAAAUCUAUAUCGUUUCUAUUCUGAUGAGGUUACGGUUAAAGAUAAAAAAAAUUCUACAAAUUAAAAAACGAACACGCGCCAUUUUAAUCAGUGCCGCUAUUGGAGCACGUGGCCAAUUGCUAGAUAGACGUCAAACAUAACGACACCUAUCCUAACGUUUCUCGCUCUUGCGCGUGUCAGAUACCCUUAUCUUGCUACUCUUCUUUCUCUCUGUCUUUCUCUAUCUUUCACUUCGAUUUACGCAUUCAUUUUCGUCAUCAUAUUCCCCUUCUAUCUUUUGCGCGCCAUUUUUUGUCUCAAAUUCCUAAUGUUUAUUUUAAUGUAAUUUUCUUGAUUUUUACGGAUACGAUAGUGAAGUUUUCAAUAUAAAAUGAUCCCUCGACAUGGAAUGACAUUUUUGCAAAGCAUCAGGAACACCCUCGUUACCAGCAAUUACUGUAAUAUAAUAAACAUAAGAGGACCUCAUAAAAAAUUAACUAAGCCAUUGUCAAAUAUGUAAUAGAGAAACGCUGUUACAAUUGUUACAGCUUGAAUCGAGUGGUUGUUUGACAUAAAUGAUGACAAGAUUUUCAAGAUACAUGACUACGUGAUUUUUCAAGUCCUUCACAGCAAUACCUUGAUCCAAUUCCGUUCUUAAGGCGCUGAGUUGUUGACGAACAUCAAUAAAAAGCCAUAUUAAGCUAGCAGUAGCUAACACAGAAGCGCACGCCAAAAAGGCACUACAAGCUUUAAGAAAUCCCGGACAAGCUUGGCUCCUUCUUCCUCUGCAUUUGCGACUACUUCUUGUCGAUGUGUUCCAAUAUUCUGAACGUUCGUCACUGCUAUCCGUCAAUAACUCCUGCAAAAUAAAUUAUCGUCAAAUAGUCAUUGUUAAAAAAGACAACAAUUGAUAUAAAAAUAAUUCUAUAUAAAAACUUUGCUUUAAGAUAAACUCAUACCUGAGAACUACGUUUGCCGGAAGUUCUUCUCGAAACAGCAUGUGGAGGUGCAAGAGCAUCUAAUUCCUUACGUUUCUUCAUUUUCUUCGUUGGUUGACGAAGCGGAACCGUAACCGCUACCGAGUCCAUCUCAAGUAAAACCUCCUCCUUCGUCUCCUUGAUUUACAUAUACUUAUUAUUCUUAUGCCGAGGUAUAUUUCGAGGUGGUUGUAAUUUAAUACGUUAUAUUAUAAUCAUUGACUUUUAGUGUUUAACGCUAAACGUUCAUGGUGUCUGGUUCAUUGCGUCUAAAAAAUGUCUGAUGUUUAUUUCAUCGCGAUACUUCUUCAUGUUUAAUAAUGAAGUUUCGUGAUGAUAGUUCGAAUAAUCCAAGGAAAGACAUGUUUGUUCGUUCGAAGAUCUUACCUAUUAUUUUAUUUAAUUUAACAUACGUAUGCAUAUCAGUUUCUUUUGUUUCAUACAUAAACGUCUAUAAUUUAUCUACACGUAUUUUUUUUUUUUCUUUUGUAAGCAUAUAACAAUGAGCACUAUUAUAGUUGCACGAAUUUGAAAAAAAUUAUGCAAGAAAAAUUAUAACGAAUAAAACAUGAAAUUGUAAGAGCCAAUUUAUCGAAAUUUAAAGAAAUUAUCAAACCUUAUUGUUAGCUUCAUUUAUACUCGAGAAAAGAUAUCACUUUAAAUUAUUGAACAUGUCUUCUUCGUAUUCCCGUAUAUUGCGUUACAUAUUAAUGUUAUCGAUAGAAAUUAACAUAAGUCUAUGAAUAUACUUUCUCACAUUAAUUUCUGCACAUAUAUGAAGAAUAUAAACGUGAAAACGAGAAAUGAGACACUAUUGCGAUGCGAGCUGAAAUAAUAAUGACUCACACCCAAUAUAAAGUACGAUAGUAGUGUAAUUCGAGUUGUUUAUAAAUUUUUUAAUAAGUAGAAUAUGUUUAUUACGAGGAACAAUAACGGGAAAACGAAAAAGAAGAAAUAAAAAUAUAUUAUAUUUCUUCAAUGGAGUUAGUAAAAUUAGAACUUUUCUGUCGUCAAUGCAUUUGUUAUCGCUCUUUAAAGCGAAAUAACACUUAAAACGAGAUGCAAAUGGUCUCGACGAAGUUAACCAAGAGGCUAUAAUCAACGGACGAGUGAUACGGAGCGAUUAAAAGACGAUGCAUUUACAACCGAACAUUGUCGCGAUACUACUGAGAAGCUCUUAUCAUCAAAUUGGUGGCUAACAAUAACAGCAGGUAAGCGCGCCUUGUAGGAGAACGCGCGAGCGCGUAUCUUGAGGACACGUAUAGAUGCUCUGCUAUUAUACACGAUUUCUCUAUAUGUGUGUUUGUUUGUGUGUACGUUUUGUACAGGGUGAGUCAAUAAUUACUGUCAAACUUGAAAUAACUCUUUUGUUCAGUGGCUUAAAAAUUUUUAAACGAAAAAUUAUAUAGACACGCUUAUUGACUUUUUUAUUGGCUAGCUGAAGAAAUUAUAGGUCACUUUUCUUUUGUUUUUAUUUAUUUAUUCCUUUGUUCUUUUUCUUUUUUUUUUUUUAAUCAUCAAUAAAAAUUUAUUUCAGACGGUAAUAAAUGCUGACUCAUUCUGUAUAUAUUAUGUACUUGUGUGUGUGUGUGUGUAAAACUUGUUAUACAUACACAUAUAUAGGAAAAUCAAGUACGUCUCGCCGAAGUACGUUCUGCCGUUUUUAAAUCAAAUACACGUGACUAUGUUACAACCUACUGUGUGUGAUGUCUGAUGUGUGUGUGUGUGUACUUGAGUUUGGUUGGUUAUGUGCGUGCGUGCGUGCGUGCGCGAGUGAACUUGCUCGAAGUUUUCGUCGAGACAGUUUACUGCUUGCUUUCGUCUCUAUCGCGAAACCAGGCCAGAUUGUUUUCCGUCUGUGACGAAUGAUAACGAAUAUCAAGUAAUCAAAGACCGUAAGAGAAUGAGGUGACGAUUUAGUAAGCGAAAUAAUAUUAUUGUUUAUUUUUUUUCUUUCUGUUUUUUUUUUGUUUUCGUUGUCAAGAAACAUAUUUAAAUUACUGUUUCAAUGUUUAAUUUUAAUUGGAUACUUUGUUGCGAGAAUAGAAACUAUCGUCGGAUUAUAAGGGACAAUCCACGUUGGUGUGUGUGUGUGUGUGUGUGUAUAUAUGUAUGUAUGUAUAUAUUUCUUUUAAAUACAUAUGUACAUCGUUAUCUCGUUCAGAUAAUAACGUUAUCGUAAAUUUCUACCUUCAAUGUGUUCUCUGUCUUUUUGUUUUUUUUUUAAAUUACAUAUCAAUAUAUCUCAAUUGUAUGUGGUCCAUAAUUUAUUUUAUUCGAGCAAGGCACUUAUAAAAUACGUUUUUAUUCAAAGCUUAACGAAAUGUUUUCAUAAAACAUUAACGAAACGUUAAAACUUUACGAUUUGUUUUUUCUUAAUCAUUCAAUAAAUCAAUGACCAAUUUGACAUAAUGUAUCAUUUUAUUUCAUUAAUCAGUCGUUCGUUUCGUUUCGUUUCGUUUCGUUUUGCUGUUUUAAAUACGUCGGCAAUUGUUAUGACUUACGAAUUUGACAUAAGUUGGUUUUGCGCUUUCACGACCGAAGAAUGUUUGUCAUAUUAAGCGUUUUUUUUAUCGAGGAAGUUGUCUUCAAAGUGUACGUUAAACCAAUGACUGGCGCCGUUAUCUAUCGCGAAACACUUUCGACACACGGACACACGUUCUUCUUCGAUUAAAAAAACCCAUUCGACCUUAACAUCAUUUGAAUCGACGGUGAUAUCGUCGUGACAUAAACGGUAACCGUUUCGAGUUAUUUUUCAAGUCGCGUCGAAACUUCAACCACGUUGGAAAUGAAUUAUAAAAGUCUUAUUCUCAUCGAUUCGAACUUGUAUAUUCUGUGCAAAAGUUGGGGAAAAACGAAAACAAUACGUAUAAUAGUCCAUAAAGCCCGUAAACGUUAUAAUUCUCUUUCUUUCUUCUCCCUUUCUCCUUGUCUUUUUCUCUCUUUUUUUUUUAUGCUAUCCUUAUUUCUCCCACUACCGCCUACCCUCUUAACGUUGUGAAAUCAUUCGAAAUUGACACAAUGAGAUCGAUUGGUCGUGUAAUAAUUUGUGAUUAAGUCUUUCAAAAAUCUAGAUUCAAUAUCCUUCGUCCCGACGGAUCGUUUAUAAAAUUAAGAAAUUAAAUUUCAUGUUGAACGGACACGAUUAUAUGUAGUACAUAUCUCUCUCGUAAUGAUCGAUCGUAAACUGUUACACGUUUUGCGAAUAUUUCACACGAUAAAAAUUAUCUUUUUUUAUUCCAUGACAGUUGGUCAGUCUUGACUUAUUAUUUAAGCACAAACGUAUAAAUAAGCACGUAUAUAGUCGAUUUGGAAAAUAAAUUUAGGCCGCGUUAUAAUUUAAAAGGAGAAAAUAAACGUCGUUGUGCCAAAUGGACGAACGAUUUCCGUAGAGGCCACACUAUCGACACACACAUACACACAUACACGCGCGCGCAUACGCAAGUACGAGACUCGCCCGCCACUCGUCGUCGCUGAUAUCGACUGACGAAAGAAGGGGUUGCCGUACGUGAGGAACAACUCUACUCCUACCGCUAGGGGUUGCUUCGUACGAUAAAAACUGUAUUCGUACUACUGACACACCGAAACUUUUAAUAUCGAAUAACUAAUAAUAACGGUGCUAAUAUUAUAUAAAAUUAAUAUUAAUAUUAAUAUUAAAGUACAUACACAUAUUAUAAAAACAAUAAUAGAAAUAUAUUUAAACAUUUAUGGAUUUUUUAUAUAAUUCAUAAAAAUCAUUCAUUACUCAAAUCGUUACAAUUAGUUCCAGAAUAUUUUAUUCGAUUAUUAAUAAUUCAUAUUUACAUAUUAAUUUCUAUUGAACAUGCUAUAAAUAUGUAUAUUUGAAUCCAAAGUAUUAAUGGAUUAAAACGUUGUUCGGAUAUAUUUUAACGUUACUUACCCAAUUUUAUAGAUGUGUCCAUUCUUUCGAUUUCUCCAUAGAAAAUUGCAGCUACCCAGGAUAAAGCUAUCAACCAAAAUAUUAUCAAUAGGGCUACUACCCAUAAUGAUAUGACUCUUAUGUCUGAUUUAUUGCAACCGCAUAUGUCACUGUCUUUAAUUUUAACAGUACUUCCUUGCCUAUAUCUUCUAUAACACAAAUGAUAUCAUAAUAAUAAAUGAUAACAAUUGGCUAAAGCAGUAAUUUAAAUAAAUAUUUUUAUUAACAACAGUUGUAUCAUAUCGAAUAUUAUUAUUGAUAUUUAUUCUUACCGUUUAACUUUCUUUUUUCUUGGUGUCAGGACUAAAUCUGGUAUAUCUGAUUCUGUUUCUGAUAAAAGAUCGAGAAGAUUCACAGUUUCCUUGUUUCCUUGCAUAGUUUUUUCCUUGUUAUUUAAAAUCUUCAUUAUUGAAUUUUAUAUUAAAUUAAUAGAAUGCAUCUUUACACAAUGGCAUUAUUCUGAUGAUAUAUUUUAAAAUUAAUUUUAACAAUGUUAGGAAUUAUUGUUAUAUCGCUUAUAUCAAUAUAUAGCUACCUUUAUUGGAUGUCCUUUGGAAGCAAUUAAUAUAUUUAUAUCUACUAUUAGUAAAAUGUAAAUGGAAUUAAAUUAAGACAAGAUUUAUAUACUUUGGCACAUAACCUACUUUGACACAUCUUUCUGUGUUAGUCAUUCAUAAUUUGUAUAUACAUUACCAUCUAUUGCUGAAAAGAAACAUUAAAUUAUUUUAAACUCUGACGAACACGCCAACAUCGGUAAAGUAGAGGCAACAUCAUACAGGAAAUGACGACUAGCGAAAGAACAGCACUCGAGCGCUUCUACUGGACAAUGUUCUAAUCUAUUUUCCUAAUCCUUUCUUCCUGCUUAAACUAAUAUCUGUUUUGUCUUAUGAUAUCUGUAUUUCUUUGUUAUAUUUUUCUUAUCCAUGUAUAUAUCUAUAUAGAUAUAUAUCUUUAUUAUAUCAUCGUUACAAAUGAACUAUUAAAACAAUUAGUUUUAUAUAAAAUUCCAUAAUUCCAUUCAUAUGCCAUCUAGCGGACGUUUCAUGGCAGGAAACAAAUAAAAUGAUAUUAAUUUAUAUUUUAUUAAACUAAAUGUUUGUAUUUACAUUCAAAAUUAUAUAAUUACUAUGAUAUUUCAUGUUACAGAUUCGUAAAAAGUUCUUGCAGAAUAGAAUAUUAUUAAAGCAUUUUAACAAAUUUAUUCGUUCAGCUUCCCUGUUUAAUUUUAUUGAUAAGACAUUGAGAAGAUAUUCUUAUUCCUGAAGAUCUCCUGUAUGAUUUCAUUAAUGAAACAAAUAAAAAGGGCUAUCUAAUGAAAACAGCAUUGAAUCUGACAGUGUUUACAGGUUUUGUGAGUGCAAUUUUCUUGGAUGAUUGCUAAAGCACAAUAAAAAUGAAUUCAAGCUUGCUUCAAUUUUUGUGCACAUAUAUAUACAUAUAUUCUUCUUUCAUU
This is a long non-coding RNA of Vespula pensylvanica (western yellowjacket), 6412 nucleotides long. RefSeq lists it as uncharacterized. The record is from RefSeq and is a predicted model, not a curated record. The transcript has 5 exons. Lineage: Eukaryota; Metazoa; Arthropoda; Insecta; Hymenoptera; Vespidae.